Non-coding RNA from Caenorhabditis elegans, 45 nucleotides. The record is from Rfam. NCBI's taxonomy places the organism in Eukaryota, Metazoa, Nematoda, Chromadorea, Rhabditida, Rhabditidae.
CCAACGGCCCUCUUUAGGGCCACAUACAUAUGAUCCAAUCAUUUU